ACGGUGAAGCAAAGCUUGCUCUGUGGAUCAGUGGCGAACGGGUGAGUAACACGUGAGCAACCUGCCCCUGACUCUGGGAUAAGCGCUGGAAACGGCGUCUAAUACUGGAUAUGAGCUGCGACCGCAUGGUCAGCAGUUGGAAAGAUUUUUCGGUCUGGGAUGGGCUCACGGCCUAUCAGCUUGUUGGUGAGGUAAUGGCUCACCAAGGCGUCGACGGGUAGCCGGCCUGAGAGGGUGACCGGCCACACUGGGACUGAGACACGGCCCAGACUCCUACGGGAGGCAGCAGUGGGGAAUAUUGCACAAUGGGCGAAAGCCUGAUGCAGCAACGCCGCGUGAGGGAUGACGGCCUUCGGGUUGUAAACCUCUUUUAGCAGGGAAGAAGCGAAAGUGACGGUACCUGCAGAAAAAGCGCCGGCUAACUACGUGCCAGCAGCCGCGGUAAUACGUAGGGCGCAAGCGUUAUCCGGAAUUAUUGGGCGUAAAGAGCUCGUAGGCGGUUUGUCGCGUCUGCUGUGAAAUCCCGAGGCUCAACCUCGGGUCUGCAGUGGGUACGGGCAGACUAGAGUGCGGUAGGGGAGAUUGGAAUUCCUGGUGUAGCGGUGGAAUGCGCAGAUAUCAGGAGGAACACCGAUGGCGAAGGCAGAUCUCUGGGCCGUUACUGACGCUGAGGAGCGAAAGGGUGGGGAGCAAACAGGCUUAGAUACCCUGGUAGUCCACCCCGUAAACGUUGGGAACUAGUUGUGGGGUCCAUUCCACGGAUUCCGUGACGCAGCUAACGCAUUAAGUUCCCCGCCUGGGGAGUACGGCCGCAAGGCUAAAACUCAAAGGAAUUGACGGGGACCCGCACAAGCGGCGGAGCAUGCGGAUUAAUUCGAUGCAACGCGAAGAACCUUACCAAGGCUUGACAUAUACGAGAACGGGCCAGAAAUGGUCAACUCUUUGGACACUCGUAAACAGGUGGUGCAUGGUUGUCGUCAGCUCGUGUCGUGAGAUGUUGGGUUAAGUCCCGCAACGAGCGCAACCCUCGUUCUAUGUUGCCAGCACGUAAUGGUGGGAACUCAUGGGAUACUGCCGGGGUCAACUCGGAGGAAGGUGGGGAUGACGUCAAAUCAUCAUGCCCCUUAUGUCUUGGGCUUCACGCAUGCUACAAUGGCCGGUACAAAGGGCUGCAAUACCGUGAGGUGGAGCGAAUCCCAAAAAGCCGGUCCCAGUUCGGAUUGAGGUCUGCAACUCGACCUCAUGAAGUCGGAGUCGCUAGUAAUCGCAGAUCAGCAACGCUGCGGUGAAUACGUUCCCGGGUCUUGUACACACCGCCCGUCAAGUCAUGAAAGUCGGUAACACCUGAAGCC
This 1352-nucleotide ribosomal RNA is filed under the name Microbacterium sp. RNAcentral describes it as "bacterial SSU rRNA". It matches the Rfam family "Bacterial small subunit ribosomal RNA", at positions 66 to 1428 of the family's 1533-position model. Lineage: Bacteria; Bacillati; Actinomycetota; Actinomycetes; Micrococcales; Microbacteriaceae. The record is from RNAcentral.